RNAcentral lists this ribosomal RNA (527 nucleotides) under uncultured bacterium. Its description in RNAcentral is "bacterial SSU rRNA". It matches the Rfam family "Bacterial small subunit ribosomal RNA", at positions 777 to 1301 of the family's 1533-position model. The record is from RNAcentral.
AAUAGAUACCCUGGUAGUCCACGCCGUAAACGAUGAGUGCUAAGUGUUAGAGGGUUUCCGCCCUUUAGUGCUGCAGCUAACGCAUUAAGCACUCCGCCUGGGGAGUACGGUCGCAAGACUGAAACUCAAAGGAAUUGACGGGGGCCCGCACAAGCGGUGGAGCAUGUGGUUUAAUUCGAAGCAACGCGAAGAACCUUACCAGGUCUUGACAUCCUCUGACAACUCUAGAGAUAGAGCGUUCCCCUUCGGGGGACAGAGUGACAGGUGGUGCAUGGUUGUCGUCAGCUCGUGUCGUGAGAUGUUGGGUUAAGUCCCGCAACGAGCGCAACCCUUGAUCUUAGUUGCCAGCAUUAAGUUGGGCACUCUAAGGUGACUGCCGGUGACAAACCGGAGGAAGGUGGGGAUGACGUCAAAUCAUCAUGCCCCUUAUGACCUGGGCUACACACGUGCUACAAUGGAUGGUACAAAGGGCUGCAAGACCGCGAGGUCAAGCCAAAUCCCAUAAAACCAUUCUCAGUUCGGAUUGU